This 1466-nucleotide ribosomal RNA is filed under the name uncultured Bordetella sp. Its description in RNAcentral is "partial 16S-23S ribosomal RNA intergenic spacer". It matches the Rfam family "Bacterial small subunit ribosomal RNA". Lineage: Bacteria; Pseudomonadati; Pseudomonadota; Betaproteobacteria; Burkholderiales; Alcaligenaceae. The record is from RNAcentral.
GGUUCGAUUCUGGCUCAGAUUGAACGCUGGCGGGAUGCUUUACACAUGCAAGUCGAACGGCAGCACGGACUUCCAGUCUGUUCUUGAGUGGCGAACGGGUGAGUAAUGUAUCGGAACGUGCCUAGUAGCGGGGGAUAACUACCGCAAGCGUAGCUAAUACCGCAUACGCCCUUCCAGGAAAGCGGGGGACCUUCCCGGGCCUCGCACUAUUAGAAACGGCCGAUAUCGGAUUGGCUGGUUGGUCGGAGUAACGGCUCACCAAGGCGACGAUCCGUAGCUGGUUUGAGAGGACGACCAGCCACACUGGGACUGAGACACGGCCCAGACUCUACGGGGAGGCAGCAGUGCGAAGAUUUUGGACAAUGGAAGCAGUCAGCAUCCGCAUUGCGAUGAGGCCUUCGUUUGUAAGAAGCUGGCGGGAAAGAAGCGGCACGGGAUAUUGCAACUGACGAAACCUGCAGAAUAAGCACCGGCUUAACUACGUGCCAGCAGCCGCGGUAAUACGUAGAGUGCAAGCGUUAAUCAGAUUACUGGGCGUAAAAGCGUGCGCAGGCGGUUUGGAAAGAAAAGAUGUGAAAUCCCAAGAGCUUAACUUUAGUUCACAUUUUUAACUACCGAGCUAGAGUGUGUCCAGAGGGAGUGGAAUUCCGCAUUAGCAGUGAAAUGCGUAGAUAUGCGGAGGAACACCGAUGGCGAAGGCAGCACCUCCUGGGAUAACACUGACGCUCAUGCACGAAAGCGUGGGAGCAAACGGGAUUAGAUACCCUGAAGCAGCCCGCCCUAAACGAUGUCAACUAUGUGUUGGGGCCUGAGACAUGGUAGCGCAACUAACGCGUGAAGUUGGCUACCACAGGGAAUACAGUGCCAAGAUUAAAACUCAAAGGAAUUGACGGGGACCCUUGUGGUGGAUAGUAUGGAUAAUUCGAUGCAACGCGAAAAACCUUACCUACCCUUGACAUGUCUGGAAUCCGAAGAGAUUUGGGAGUGCUCGCAAGAGAACCGGAACACAGGUGCUGCAUGGCUGUCGUCAGCUCUCGUGUCGUGAGAUGUUGGGUUAAGUCCGCAGCGAGCGCGGCCCUUGUCAUUAGUUGCUACGAAAGGAGCCUCUAAUGAGACUGCCGGUGACAAACCGGAGGAAGGUGGGGAUGACGUCAAGUCCUCAUGGCCCUUAUGGGUAGGGCUUCCACACGUCAUACAAUGAACCGGGACAGAGGGUCGCCAACCCGCGAGGGGGUAAUCCAGAAACCCGAUCGUAGUCCAGGAUCGCAGUCUGCAACUCGACUGCGUGAAGUCGGAAUCGCUAGUAAUCGCGGAUCAGCAUGUCGCGGUGAAUACGUUCCAGGUCUUGUACACGCCCGUCACACCAUGGGAGUGGGUUUUACCAGAAGUAGUUAGCCUAACCGUAAGGAGGGCGGGAUUACCACAGUAGGAUUCGCAUGACUGGGGUGAAGUCAGCAACAAGGUAA